RNAcentral lists this non-coding RNA (116 nucleotides) under Ignavibacteria bacterium. RNAcentral's name for it is "TPP sequence". It matches the Rfam family "TPP riboswitch aptamer (THI element)". Rfam says of the family: Vitamin B(1) in its active form thiamin pyrophosphate (TPP) is an essential coenzyme that is synthesised by coupling of pyrimidine and thiazole moieties in bacteria. The previously detected thiamin-regulatory element, thi box was extended, resulting in a new, highly conserved RNA secondary structure, the THI element, which is widely distributed in eubacteria and also occurs in some archaea. The record is from RNAcentral. Lineage: Bacteria; Pseudomonadati; Ignavibacteriota; Ignavibacteria.
GAGUUCCGUUAGGGGUGUCAUCCCGACUGUUUCGCGAAACAGCCGGGGCGGCUGAGAGCAAACCCUCCGAACCUGAACUGGGUAAUACCAGCGAAGGAAAACGGGAAACUGGUAUU